RNAcentral lists this ribosomal RNA (253 nucleotides) under uncultured bacterium. Its description in RNAcentral is "partial 16S ribosomal RNA". It matches the Rfam family "Bacterial small subunit ribosomal RNA", at positions 524 to 776 of the family's 1533-position model. The record is from RNAcentral.
UACAGAGGGUGCAAGCGUUAAUCGGAUUGACUGGGCGUAAAGGGCGCGUAGGCGGUUAUUUAAGUUGGAUGUGAAACCCCCGGGCUUAACCUGGGACGUGCAUACAAGACUGGAUAACUGGAGUACUGUAGAGGGUAGUGGAAUUUCCGGUGUAGCGGUGAAAUGCGUAGAGAUCGGGAGGAACACCGGUGGCGAAGGCGGCGACCUGGGUAGAUACUGACGCUGAGGCGCGAAAGCGUGGGGAGCAAACAGG